Molecule: non-coding RNA, 136 nt
Organism: Triticum aestivum (bread wheat)
Lineage: Eukaryota; Viridiplantae; Streptophyta; Magnoliopsida; Poales; Poaceae
Source: Rfam
UGUGUACUCCCUCCGUUACAAAAUACUUGACUUCCAUUUGUCCAAAAAUGGAUGUACCUAUAUACUAAGACAUGUCUAGAUACAUAUAUAUUUUGACAAAUAGAAGGCAUGUAUUGUGCAACGGAGGGAGUAGAAU